Molecule: ribosomal RNA, 694 nt
Filed under: Bacillus subtilis
Lineage: Bacteria; Bacillati; Bacillota; Bacilli; Caryophanales; Bacillaceae
Description: bacterial SSU rRNA
Rfam family: Bacterial small subunit ribosomal RNA
Source: RNAcentral
GAUGGGAGCUUGCUCCCUGAUGUUAGCGGCGGACGGGUGAGUAACACGUGGGUAACCUGCCUGUAAGACUGGGAUAACUCCGGGAAACCGGGGCUAAUACCGGAUGCUUGUUUGAACCGCAUGGUUCAAACAUAAAAGGUGGCUUCGGCUACCACUUACAGAUGGACCCGCGGCGCAUUAGCUAGUUGGUGAGGUAAUGGCUCACCAAGGCAACGAUGCGUAGCCGACCUGAGAGGGUGAUCGGCCACACUGGGACUGAGACACGGCCCAGACUCCUACGGGAGGCAGCAGUAGGGAAUCUUCCGCAAUGGACGAAAGUCUGACGGAGCAACGCCGCGUGAGUGAUGAAGGUUUUCGGAUCGUAAAGCUCUGUUGUUAGGGAAGAACAAGUACCGUUCGAAUAGGGCGGUACCUUGACGGUACCUAACCAGAAAGCCACGGCUAACUACGUGCCAGCAGCCGCGGUAAUACGUAGGUGGCAAGCGUUGUCCGGAAUUAUUGGGCGUAAAGGGCUCGCAGGCGGUUUCUUAAGUCUGAUGUGAAAGCCCCCGGCUCAACCGGGGAGGGUCAUUGGAAACUGGGGAACUUGAGUGCAGAAGAGGAGAGUGGAAUUCCACGUGUAGCGGUGAAAUGCGUAGAGAUGUGGAGGAACACCAGUGGCGAAGGCGACUCUCUGGUCUGUAACUGACGCUGA